GGAAGACAUCGUGAGCAACAUGAGAUGGCUGCCUAAAACAUAUACAAUAUUUGUUGAGGAUCCCUUUGAGCAGCCACUUAAUUCAGCAAGGGGUGUAAGCACUAAACAACUAACAAGAAUAGAAGAAGCAUUCAGGAGUACCCACUUUAUGCUUUGUUCAUCGAAUCUAAACGAGAAUGAAGUUAUUUCUACUCUUGUUAAGCCACAUGUAUCAAAGUUCGUGGCAAGAAUAUCUGGAAACCAAAAUAACUACAGUAGAAAUGGCCUUCGGCCACAAUUGCAAGGACAGAGAGCUAUACAUCCACCAUUA
Molecule: unclassified non-coding RNA, 310 nt
Filed under: Hevea brasiliensis (rubber tree)
Lineage: Eukaryota; Viridiplantae; Streptophyta; Magnoliopsida; Malpighiales; Euphorbiaceae
Source: RNAcentral